Molecule: ribosomal RNA, 467 nt
Filed under: uncultured bacterium
Lineage: Bacteria
Description: partial 16S ribosomal RNA
Rfam family: Bacterial small subunit ribosomal RNA
Source: RNAcentral
GACGAACGCUGGCGGCGUGCUUAACACAUGCAAGUCGAACGGAAAGGCCUUAAUUUGUGGGGUGUUCGCGUGGCGAACGGGAGAGGAAAACGUGAGUAACCAGCCCUUGACUUUAGGAUAACUUUAGGAAACUGGGGCCAAUUCCGGAGAGGCAUCCCCGCCGCAUGGAGGGGGCUGGAAAGUUUCGGCCGUGGGGGAUGGACUCCGGGGUUAUCAGCUUUUUGGUGGGGUAGUGGCUUACCAAGGCUUUGCCGGGUAGCCGGCCUGGGAAGUUGAACGGCCACAAUAGCACUAUGAUACGGCCCAGACGCGUACGGGAGGUAGCGGUGGGGAAUCUUGCACAUAGGGCGGAAGCCUGAUAAAGCAACGCCUCGCGCGGGAUGACGGCCUUCGGGAUGAAAAACGCUUUCGGCUGUUACGAAGCGUGAGUGACGGUAAUGGGUAAAGAAGCACCGGCUAACUACGUG